This 88-nucleotide non-coding RNA is filed under the name unclassified sequences. Its description in RNAcentral is "DUF3800-VII RNA". It matches the Rfam family "DUF3800-VII RNA". The record is from Rfam by way of RNAcentral.
GAGCAGGGAGCGCGGAUAACCUUUGGUCGUCUUUUACGGACGGCAGCCGAUUUUCGGUGGGAUCCAACGGCCCGGACCUGCACCUUUC